AGAGAUUUAGGAUAACAAUAGACCAAAAGCCUUCAAAGCUUUAAGUGGGAGUGAAAAUCCCCCAAUCUCUG
This 71-nucleotide transfer RNA is filed under the name Osteogeneiosus militaris (soldier catfish). RNAcentral describes it as "tRNA-Trp". It matches the Rfam family "tRNA". Rfam says of the family: Transfer RNA (tRNA) molecules are approximately 80 nucleotides in length. Lineage: Eukaryota; Metazoa; Chordata; Actinopteri; Siluriformes; Ariidae. The record is from RNAcentral.